GGGUGGCCCCACCAACCUGCCAGCUCUAAAUGUACGAGUCGUCUCCCAGUGCAGCGAUGUCCCUUGAAAUCAGCCGGUGGGGGGGAGGAAUGGGCGCACACGGCCUUCAGCCCCCUGCCCCCUGGAGCCUGUGAAAUCUUUACCAGCAAUACCCAGAUUCUAGGCUCCCCUGUUUUGCAACGGGCCUGUGUCUGCUCCAGAUGGUGAGGGUGUCAAAGGCAGGGCUGUCCCUUACUGCUCUUUGUAAAGAUGGGCCCCCAUCAUGCCUGCUACCUUGUGAGGACAUGCCCCACAGAACGUGUCAUUUUUUCUUUUUUUCUUUUUUUUUGUGUGUGUCUUUUUGCCUUUUCUUGAGCCACUCUCGUGGCAUAUGGAGGUUCCCAGGCUAGGGGUCUAAUCAGAGCUGUAGCCACUGACUUAUGCCACAGCCACGCGGGAUCCGAGCUGCAUCUGCGACCCACACCACAGCUCAUAGCAACGCCAGAUCCUUAACCCACUGAGCAAGGCCAGGGAUCGAACCUGCAACCUCAUGGGUCCUGGUUGGAUUCAUUAACCACUGCGCCACGACAGGAACUCCCAGAACGCAUCAUUUAACUGUGGUCCCAGAUGACCCCGAGGCCACCAUGAUCCUUUGAAAGUCUGACGUGCCCAUGUCAGCUUCCUGCCCAGAAGCCCUUGGUAGCUGCCUUUGCCAAGAGUGCAUAGAGUCCCUCCUGGUGGGAUUUUUCUCUGUUUUAUCAAGGUGGCUCCGGGCUCAGAGCAGGGUCCAGCAUGGAAAGAUGCUUAGAACCAGUCAGUGCUUCAUUGUCAAGGGAAUAAAUGAAUGAUAAAAUUCAAGCUCCUUAAAACAGCCUUCAAGAGCCCUCAUUCAUCGAUUCCGCUCUUUCUCUGUGUCUGGGGCUGCCCCUCCCCUACUAGGAGCCUCUACUUGCAACUCCUGGGGGUUAGGAGCUCCCUCCUCCUCCCCUCCGUGUACCCCCACCCAUCAUCGGAGAGGCUCUCAGCUUCUUGGGGCCGUGCUGAUGUGUGCAGAUCUUCCUGUCCCCUCCUGACGUCGGGUCCCAUACAUCGUAGGACCCUAGGGCGGGUUUGUGGUCCAUAUUUGCCCACAUACAAAACACUGGAGACCAGCAAGAUGCACACAAGCCCCAGCCGUUGCUCUGGCCACUCUCUGGGCUUUAUCUGACUGGCAGUCAUUCACCAAGUGUCACUGGGGGUUGGGGAGGGAUGGUUGGUGUCCAGAACGUGAUGGGAGGAGGCACCUGCCUCCAGGGCUUCAUUCAGGUCCCACCAGGGAGGGGGUGGGGCGGGCAUCACCACUUGAUCUUCUGUUCUCUUCCUCCUAGUUCAUGGCCACCUCGCUCCUGGCCAGCUACAGCUGCUUCUGCCAGCCGGUGAACUACAGCUGGAGUGAGCUGGGGUUAAGGGUAUGACAAGGAGUGGGAGGGUUGGGCCUGGAGAGAAGGGUCAUAGGAUGCAUUUCAAAAAAAACCAGAGCUCUAUCCAGGUGUCACCAUUCAAGACUUCGAUGGGAGGCCGUGAUCGGUUCAGUACAGGUUCAGAAGAUCUCACUGUGACUCUCAGCCCUGCCAGUUCCUUGCUGUGUGAUCAUGGGUUGCUUACUUACCUUAUACAGACCUCAAUUUUCUUAUCUAUAAAAUGGGAGAGUACUGCCUACUUUAUAAAAAGAAACAAUAGGAAGAAAAUGUUUGAAAGUAGUUUGCCCUGGGCCUGGCACACGCAAAGUGGUAGCUAAGUGGUAGAUAUCGGUUGUUUUUAUCUGUUCUCUCUUUCAACUGGAAGCAGAACAAAAGGCUUCCUUGCAGCACAAAAAAAUCAAGCUGAGGCUCAGCAAGUCACCAGGCAGUGAUGUGGGUAUUGAAUCAAGGAUCAUUGAACAGCGGGCUCAAGUCUUGCUGCUCAAAGUAUGGUCCACAGACCAGCGGCGUGAGCAUCUCCUGGGGGCUUGUUGGAAAAGUGGAACCUCAUGUUUCACCCCAGGCACGCUGGUUGGGAACCUGCUUUUCAACAAAAACCCUCAGGUGAUCCAUGUGCUGGUCAAGUCAUGGCUCCAGGAGUUCCCUGGUGGCCUAGCAGUUAAGGAUCUAGUGUUGUCACUACUGUGGCUUGAGUCACUGCUAUGGCUUGGGUUCAAUCCCUGGUACCGGUACUUCUGCAUCCUGCGGGUACAGCCAAAAAAGAAAAAAGGCCUGGCUCCAGUUUGGAGAAUCCUUCUGUUAUCAUUCCGAGCAGCUUCUCCCACUAUAUCCUAUGCUAAUGGGCAUUUUUUUUGCAGACAGGUAGGCACUGUGGGUGCAGGGGCUGCAGAGGGACAGUGAGGAUUGGGGCUGAAGUCAGUGUUGCCAGGGCCAGGGGUACCACCAGCAGGGUAGCAGUCUGACUGCAAUUCCCAUCUCUUCCCAGCAGAUGGCGAGCGUGUGCUGGUGGUGCUUCUCAAAGGCCAUUGAAUUACUGGUCGCGGGGAGUAAUUCACAGUGGGUGGUCAUCUUCCUAUCACGAAAGGAGUCAGAGCAAAUGAGCUUCCUGCACGUCUACCACCACAGCACCAUGCUCUUCAGAUAGUGGGCUUGGGUCAAAUAUGUGCCAGGGGUCAAGGUGAGUCAGGGGCUUGGGCAGCCUUGGCCCAGGACUGGUGGUGAGGCCUCUCUCUGCUGGGGUGAGUGCCAGCUUGGGAGGGCUGCAUCCCUGUAGUUUCAGGCUUUGGCUUUCAGGUUCCCCUUCCCUGUGGCUAUGACUCCUGGCCUCUGCUCCCAUUUUCCCUCUGUUGCUCCAUGGCACCCCCACCCCACCCCUCCCUGGUGUGGGGGAGCAGGCUGCUAGGGGAUGCUCAUGGCCCUCAGGCAAGAGAGAGGGGUGUAAGAAUCUUUCCUUGGCAUCCUCUUAACCCCAUGACCUUGGAUGACUCAUGCUGGACCUCCUCAUGAUAGGACCUCCCAGGGGGCUUUGUGGGCUGUGCAGAGAUGCACCUGCAGCUCGGAGGACUGAAACAUGAAAGAGACAGCCCAGAGCACACUCAGCUCUGCUCCACUUACUUCUCUUCUCUCCCCACCCCACUCUGCAGCCUUCUUUGUCAGGAUGCUGAAUUCUUUGGUCCAUGUCUUUAUGUACCUGUAUUAUGGACUGGCCAAUCUGGGGGCCCACCUGCAGCCCUACCUGUGCUAGAAGCGACUCUUACCAUCCUGCAGCUGGUGAGAUAGACCUUCUGGUACCAAGGGCCACAGCUGAGCCCAGGCUUCUAUUCUUGGCUGCACCAGUGACGAGUUAUCUGUCCUUCUCAUCACUGGAUCUUCCUUAGUCUCUCAACUUGCAAGGGUCUCAGUCACCAGCUCACCAGAUCCUAGAACUAACCCAGACUCCCUGAUGAGAUGUGGGCCCAGAGCAAGUGACUAACAUGCUUCAGGCCUUUUAUCUUCAGUGAAAUGAGGCGGCUGGGCUAGAUGACCUUGGAGGGCUAAUGGCCUGUGUGUCUGUGGUCACCAAUCUACCCCCAGGGGCCUGGGGACCCUGUGGUUUUGGGAGUACCAAUACCAGGUGGUGGUGACAACCUGAGCUGUCCUUCUUGGGGCUCAGGAUGAGUUGAGGUCAUCGUCAGUGUCAACCAACACGACAUGGCUGGGUGGAGGCAACCUGGGGACCAGACCAGGAAGAGGAUCAGGAAGUUUCUUAGGAUCAUGGGUAGGAAAGCCUGGGGAUGGUGCUUUACCAGGCUUCAAAAUCCCUGUUCUUCCUGAGCCAUGGGAGGUCCACCCCUGCUGAUAGAGGGAAUGACAAGAAAGUCAAGGGAGACUCCCUCCUGCCCUCAGCACUGCCCCUCACCUUCUCUUGUCUUCUCUUUCCUCUCAUAUUUCCUCUCCCUAGGGUCAAUGUGUGACCAUUGCUGCCUACUCCUCCUGCAGUCUCUUUGCCAAAGAGUGUCCAUUCCCUGGCAGGCUCAAUGUGACCAUUCUCCUGUACACCCUCAGUCUCAUCAGCCUUUCCCUUAACUUCUACCACCAGACAUACCUGAGAGGCAAGUGGGAGAAGCUGACCUACAAGGUGGGGCCAAGGACUGAAACUAGCAGAGCCCUCCCCAUGGAGAGUUUGGCGAAAGAUGAUACGGCCCACAGCCCACCCGUGCUGAGCAGAUUCCUCUGGGCAAGUAUUUCAUCCUAUGAGGAAAGGACAGUAACAAUUCUUGCCGCCUUCCCAGAGUUCAGGAGGACAGAACUGGACCCAGCUUCCUGAACGCACAUCUCAUGUGGAUUUGUCACUAUUUGCACACCUCCUUCCUCUACUAAACGUGAGUCCUGCUGAGGAGGGACUGCACUCUCAGUGGUCCCCACCCCUGGCACAGUAUCUCAAUAAAUGUGCAUUUAGAUCCCUAUAUUCCCCCAUGGGCAGUCAGGGCUGGGAGCAUGGAAGAAGGCAAGGCUGGUUUGAUCUUCCCCUUGCAGGCAGAGAGGAUGGCUGAGAAUAUCUAAUCUAAGGAGUGUGGGUCUGUGUGAUUUCUCUUGGGGCUAUGCCAACAGUUCCCCUGCACAUCUUUCUGUCUGUUCACUAUUACCUAAGGUGCAUUUACACAGUUGUAUGAUUCUGUGUGUAUGGGGCAGCAGAAAGGGCUACUCAUACAUGUCCAAAUACUUUGCUUUUGAAUACACGUGUGUUUCCAUUUAUGAUUUUCUCUGUUGGUGUUUUUUGUUUGUCUCUUCUGUAAAUCUUGGAAAGUGCCAUGCUAGCCAAAUAAAAGCUUCUGGGAUCAUUAACACUUCUGUCCUGAUGGGAAACAUGGAUUCCGUGAGAAAUCUCUGCAUACAUGGUCCACCGAGAGCUUCCAAAGAGGGAUGUGAGAAAAGGAGGGAUGGGGUGUAAUGAAUGCCGCCAUCCGCUUGCCAGAGGGGGAACUAGGGCCAGCCAAAGGGAGCCAACCACAGAGUUGGCAGAAGCAAACAUCUGCUGGGCUGGUUAAGACCAGAACUGGAUGGGUGUCCGGAAUGCAGAUUUCCAGGGAGCUGCCUCUAUGCCUUUGAGCUGCUGCUCCUUCUCCUUUAUAAUCUCUCCCGUUAGCUCUUUCCCUCCAGUAGAGAAGUUCAUAUUUGGUGAUGCCUCCACUGCCAAGAACCUUAAAGACCUGACAAAGGUUUCAUAAGGUUAUUUGGGGACUGUUUAUCCAUCAGGUGCUCUGGUUAAUGAACUCAAGGCCAGGCGGGGCUGCAUCCUGUGGACAGAAUACUCAGAGAAAAUUUCCUCCCAGCUACGCAGGAUGCAAACACAUCCCACACACUCUUCCACAGCAGGUUGAGUGCCUUUGCAGGUGGGGGCCUAUUUUAAGGCAAUCUUUAAACACACACACACACACUCAGAAGUAAGGUCUGUUCACUUGCUUAGCAUCCAGAAUAAGAGACGGCUUAGUCAUCCCAGGGUUCAGAGCUGACACGUGUCCAGUCCUUUGUGGCUGCCUCUCCCUGAUUUAAGUAGCACAAGAGGAAGCAAAAUGUCCUGGGUCAAGUCUCAAUGAAACAAGAUUUGGGUGGCAGGGAGAGCCUGGGGGAAGGCAAUGUGGUGGGGAGGGUUUGGGGGGAAAUUCUCAGUGCACUGAAGCUGUCCAUCAUUUUUUUUUUUUUUAAGUUGCACUUUGUUAUAACAAUGUGACCUGGUUCAGGGGUGCUGUGCAGGGGGCUCUUUCGUGUGGAAAGAGUGUGUGAAAUUAUAAAACAUAAAGUUAUUUGAAUUUGUCAACACACAGCCACAUUCUUAAUUAAGAUGGUAGAAGUUUGGGAGUUCCCGUUGUGGCGCAGUGGAAAUGAGUCUGGCUAGGAACCAUGAGGUUGCGAGUUCGAUCUCUGGCCUCGAUCAUGUCUGUAACAGCCCUGGAUUGGGUAUCUUGCAUGGCAAUGAUGGUCAACCUACCUUAGGAUCUAGAAACUGUGAAGAAAAUGCUUUCUGUAGCUGAAAAGAGACUGGCCCUGAAUCACCCUAGUGAUGGAGCUGGGCUGGGUCUUGGCUUCCUGACUCCCCGACUGGGGCUCUGCCUCCCCCAGGACUGGGUCAAGGUGAAAGGCAUUUAUUCCCAUAAACAGGGCCAUUUAAGUAUGCAGGUCCUGGAGCUACUCCUAGUGGGAAAGUUGGUAUCGGGUAUCUAUAUCUCCCCCUCCACCCUCAGCCCGCAUCUUCUUCCUCACCCCUCUGCCAGACACACUGCCUCCCUAGUGAUUGAAUUCACCUUUUAGCUCACCGGGUGCCAAACCUCACAUGGGAUCAAGAUGAAAAGAGAGGAAGAAGGAAGAGACGCAGAGGGAAAACAACGUUAAAAGUAGCUUACUUUUUCAAGGAAGAAGGAAAAGGAGUUCCCGCUAUAGCUUAGCAGGUUAAGAACCCGACUGGUAUCCAUGAGAAUGCAGGAUCCAUCCCUGGCCUCCCUCAGCGGGUGAAGGAUCCAGGGUUGCUCUGAGCUGUGGUAUAGGUUGCAGAUGCGGCUCGGAUGCAGCGUUGCUGUGGCUGUGGCAUAGGCCGGCACCUGCAGCUCUGAUUUGACCCCUAGCCUGGGAACUUCCAUAUGCUCCAGCCCUAAAAACACAAAAACAAAAAAAACCCCAAAAAAACACUGGGCCCAAACACCAGAUUGAUUAAUAACUGAAAGCUUCCCUAAUCUUUGUCCCUGCUUCCAAUGUAGGACCAAUCACAGAAAGCUAAGUGUGCAUUCUAACCACAUAGGAUUUCCGCUUGCAUUAGCGUGUUCUCCAGGCCAAGAGCCCCCGACCAGGGCACACCUGAAGCUUUCUCUUUUACCACUCUCAUGCUUUCCCACCUCUGUCUGCCUUCGAAUCUCUGCCAAGACACAAACGAUGGUGGCUAAUAGCCUGCUAUAGCCAGCUCUGAAUACAUAGCCUUUGCUUGUUCCCAUUUGGUUGGGCUUUGUUUAUUUCCACGUGGAGAAGUGUGCUGGGCUUGCACAGGCAGCAGCCUUAAGGUCAGAGGGUGGUAUGGCCCGCCUACACCAGGGAGGGCCUGAGACAGCGCCCCUAGCUCCCCGUGGCUUUACACUAGCCCAGGAGUUAGGGUUGCUAGAUAAGAUGCAGGAUUCCCACUAUGCUUGAAUUUCCCCUCCAAAAAAGCCAAGAAAAAUUUUAGCAUAAAUAUGUCCCAAGCAGUAUUUGGGGCAUACCUAUGCUAAAAAAGUAUUCCUUGUUUAUCUGAAAUUCAAAUAUAACUGGUGUCCUAUAUUUUUAUUUGCUAAAUCUGGUCAUCGUACAGGAGGGUAACUAAAACUUCCCAUGCCCCACUCCCAGAAGGGGAAACAAAAAGUUAAGAAAGAGAAGAGCACCUUGGUGGGGCUACAGAGAGUUUUAGAGCUAACAGGAGGGGGACACAUCAGAGAUGACACGGGAAACCUCCCAAGAUUUUGAAUGGGGCUUCGGCAGCAUCUCAAGGGAUUUCUGGGGUGGAGCAGCGAGGCCAAGAACGAGAGCAGAAAUGAUUAUUCUGGUGCUGGAAUAUGAGAUGAAGACAUAUCUAGGUCUAGGGAGUUCCCAUUGUGGCACAGUGGAAACGAAUCUGACUCGUAUCUGUGCGGACGUGGGUUCGAUCCCCGGCCUCGCUCAGUGGGGUAAAUAUCCAGUGUUGCCGUGUGAGCUGUGAUGUAGGUUGCAGACGAGGCUUGGAUCCUGCGUGGCUGUGGCUGUGGCUGUGGCGUGGGCUGCGAUUUGACCCCUAGCCUGGGAACUUCUAUGUGUCACGUGUGUUUCUGUAAGCACUGCUCCCCCCAUGCCCUCCCCCCCGCCUACUGUGAGCUUAACAUCCAGCUGCAGAAAGAAAGAAACAGGAUGGGAGAAAUAGCCUGACUUUGAUGGAGGUAUCAACCUGAAACAUCAUUUUAGGACUUCUUGGGGAGUGUGUCGACAUUGCCAGAUUUAACGGGUUUUCCUGGAAGUGACGAGAUGAAUUUUCUGCUGUUAGAAUGAAGCCUCAAUAUUAAAAAUAUUCUGAAUCUGGUUAUAGAAAACUGUAAGGAAUGAACAUUUUGCACAUGUGAAUUCAUUGUCUGUGAGGCUUUGAAAAAUUCAUACUUAGUGUAUAUACGGGCUUCAUGUCUAUUGAAGCACCAAUUGGAGAUACAGGGCACUUUUGGAAAAUGAAACCUCCCCGUCUCCAUCCUCCAGCCCUCGCUCGCCAAUCUGGCAAUUUCCCCAGGGAGUCGUUUUCUCCGGAGAGAAAUGUUGCAUCUCACUUUAUUUGGUCUGUAUUUGGAAAACAGUUUUAUUUUCAUCUUCCAUACACCAGAUAACAUUAUUGCAUUGCAUAUAUUUUUCCACCUUCAUGCUCAUCUCCUAUCCCUUAAUGUUGACACCCUUCCCUAGACUCCUCCUGGGUAGAAUCACUGACUUAAAAGCUCCUUUGAGUUCUCGUCAUGGUUCAGGAUUAACAAAUCCGACUAGUAUCCAUGAGGAUGUGGGUUCAAUUCCUGGCCUCGCUCAGUGGGUUAAGGAUCUGGUGUUGCUGUGGCUGUGGCAUAGGCCGGUAGCUGCAGCUCCGAUUCAAUGACUCCGAAGGCUCAGAACCUGCAUAUGCCGCAAGAAGUGUGGCCCUAAGAAGCCAAAAAAAAAAAAAAAA
RNAcentral lists this long non-coding RNA (8607 nucleotides) under Sus scrofa (pig). Its description in RNAcentral is "lncRNA (ENSSSCG00025052162.1)". The record is from RNAcentral. Lineage: Eukaryota; Metazoa; Chordata; Mammalia; Artiodactyla; Suidae.